CACGUAGGGUGCGAGCGUUGUCCGGAAUUAUUGGGCGUAAAGAGCUCGUAGGCGGUGUGUCGCGUCGGCCGUGAAAACCUGCAGCUUAACUGUGGGCGUGCGGUCGAUACGGGCAUCACUGGAGUUCGGCAGGGGAGACUGGAAUUCCUGGUGUAGCGGUGAAAUGCGCAGAUAUCAGGAGGAACACCGGUGGCGAAGGCGGGUCUCUGGGCCAAUACUGACGCUGAGGAGCGAAAGCGUGGGGAGCGAACAGG
This 254-nucleotide ribosomal RNA is filed under the name uncultured bacterium. RNAcentral's name for it is "partial 16S ribosomal RNA". It matches the Rfam family "Bacterial small subunit ribosomal RNA", at positions 524 to 776 of the family's 1533-position model. The record is from RNAcentral.